This 1837-nucleotide ribosomal RNA is filed under the name Staphylococcus aureus. Its description in RNAcentral is "partial 23S ribosomal RNA". It matches the Rfam family "Bacterial large subunit ribosomal RNA", at positions 386 to 2227 of the family's 2925-position model. The record is from RNAcentral. Lineage: Bacteria; Bacillati; Bacillota; Bacilli; Caryophanales; Staphylococcaceae.
UGUUGUCUCUCUUGAGUGGAUCCUGAGUACGACGGAGCACGUGAAAUUCCGUCGGAAUCUGGGAGGACCAUCUCCUAAGGCUAAAUACUCUCUAGUGACCGAUAGUGAACCAGUACCGUGAGGGAAAGGUGAAAAGCACCCCGGAAGGGGAGUGAAAUAGAACCUGAAACCGUGUGCUUACAAGUAGUCAGAGCCCGUUAAUGGGUGAUGGCGUGCCUUUUGUAGAAUGAACCGGCGAGUUACGAUUUGAUGCAAGGUUAAGCAGUAAAUGUGGAGCCGUAGCGAAAGCGAGUCUGAAUAGGGCGUUUAGUAUUUGGUCGUAGACCCGAAACCAGGUGAUCUACCCUUGGUCAGGUUGAAGUUCAGGUAACACUGAAUGGAGGACCGAACCGACUUACGUUGAAAAGUGAGCGGAUGAACUGAGGGUAGCGGAGAAAUUCCAAUCGAACCUGGAGAUAGCUGGUUCUCUCCGAAAUAGCUUUAGGGCUAGCCUCAAGUGAUGAUUAUUGGAGGUAGAGCACUGUUUGGACGAGGGGCCCCUCUCGGGUUACCGAAUUCAGACAAACUCCGAAUGCCAAUUAAUUUAACUUGGGAGUCAGAACAUGGGUGAUAAGGUCCGUGUUCGAAAGGGAAACAGCCCAGACCACCAGCUAAGGUCCCAAAAUAUAUGUUAAGUGGAAAAGGAUGUGGCGUUGCCCAGACAACUAGGAUGUUGGCUUAGAAGCAGCCAUCAUUUAAAGAGUGCGUAAUAGCUCACUAGUCGAGUGACACUGCGCCGAAAAUGUACCGGGGCUAAACAUAUUACCGAAGCUGUGGAUUGUCCUUUGGACAAUGGUAGGAGAGCGUUCUAAGGGCGUUGAAGCAUGAUCGUAAGGACAUGUGGAGCGCUUAGAAGUGAGAAUGCCGGUGUGAGUAGCGAAAGACGGGUGAGAAUCCCGUCCACCGAUUGACUAAGGUUUCCAGAGGAAGGCUCGUCCGCUCUGGGUUAGUCGGGUCCUAAGCUGAGGCCGACAGGCGUAGGCGAUGGAUAACAGGUUGAUAUUCCUGUACCACCUAUAAUCGUUUUAAUCGAUGGGGGGACGCAGUAGGAUAGGCGAAGCGUGCGAUUGGAUUGCACGUCUAAGCAGUAAGGCUGAGUAUUAGGCAAAUCCGGUACUCGUUAAGGCUGAGCUGUGAUGGGGAGAAGACAUUGUGUCUUCGAGUCGUUGAUUUCACACUGCCGAGAAAAGCCUCUAGAUAGAAAAUAGGUGCCCGUACCGCAAACCGACACAGGUAGUCAAGAUGAGAAUUCUAAGGUGAGCGAGCGAACUCUCGUUAAGGAACUCGGCAAAAUGACCCCGUAACUUCGGGAGAAGGGGUGCUCUUUAGGGUUAACGCCCAGAAGAGCCGCAGUGAAUAGGCCCAAGCGACUGUUUAUCAAAAACACAGGUCUCUGCUAAACCGUAAGGUGAUGUAUAGGGGCUGACGCCUGCCCGGUGCUGGAAGGUUAAGAGGAGUGGUUAGCUUCUGCGAAGCUACGAAUCGAAGCCCCAGUAAACGGCGGCCGUAACUAUAACGGUCCUAAGGUAGCGAAAUUCCUUGUCGGGUAAGUUCCGACCCGCACGAAAGGCGUAACGAUUUGGGCACUGUCUCAACGAGAGACUCGGUGAAAUCAUAGUACCUGUGAAGAUGCAGGUUACCCGCGACAGGACGGAAAGACCCCGUGGAGCUUUACUGUAGCCUGAUAUUGAAAUUCGGCACAGCUUGUACAGGAUAGGUAGGAGCCUUUGAAACGUGAGCGCUAGCUUACGUGGAGGCGCUGGUGGGAUACUACCCUAGCUGUGUUGGCUUUCUAACC